GACGAGGGGUCCUAGCGUUGUUCGGAAUCAUUGGGCGUAAAGCGUGUGUAGGCGGCCAUCCAAGUCAGUUGUGAAAGCCCCGGGCUCAACCCGGGAAGUGCUUCUGAUACUGUUUGGCUUGAGUACUGGAGAGGAUAGUAGAAUUCCUGGUGUAGUGGUGAAAUACGUAGAUAUCAGGAGGAAUACCGGUGGCGAAGGCGGCUAUCUGGCCAUGUACUGACGCUGAGACACGAAAGCGUGGGGAGCAAACAGG
This 253-nucleotide ribosomal RNA is filed under the name uncultured bacterium. Its description in RNAcentral is "partial 16S ribosomal RNA". It matches the Rfam family "Bacterial small subunit ribosomal RNA", at positions 524 to 776 of the family's 1533-position model. The record is from RNAcentral.